CCUACGGGCGGCAGCAGUGGGGAAUAUUGGGCAAUGGGCGCAAGCCUGACCCAGCAACGCCGCGUGAAGGAAGAAGGCUUUCGGGUUGUAAACUUCUUUUGUCAGGGAAGAGUAGAAGACGGUACCUGACGAAUAAGCCACGGCUAACUACGUGCCAGCAGGCGAGGUAAUACGUAGGUGGCAAGCGUUGUCCGGAUUUACUGGGUGUACAGGUCGUGAAGGCGGGUUGACAAGUCAGAUGUGAAAUCCUUGGGCUUAACCGCAGAACUGCAUUGGAAACUGUUGAGCUUGAGUACUGGAGAGGCAGACGGAAUUCCUAGUGUAGCGGUGAAAUGCGUAGAUAUUAGGAGGAACACCAGUGGCGAAGGCGGUCUGCUGGACAGCAACUGACGGUGAGGCGCGAAAGCGUGGGGAGCAAACAGGAUUAGAUACCCUAGUAGUC
This 442-nucleotide ribosomal RNA is filed under the name uncultured bacterium. RNAcentral's name for it is "partial 16S ribosomal RNA". It matches the Rfam family "Bacterial small subunit ribosomal RNA", at positions 338 to 795 of the family's 1533-position model. The record is from RNAcentral.